This 23-nucleotide non-coding RNA is filed under the name Cricetulus griseus (Chinese hamster). The record is from RNAcentral. Lineage: Eukaryota; Metazoa; Chordata; Mammalia; Rodentia; Cricetidae.
CCGAGUGCUGGGAUUAAAGGUGG